GCAGGCAUGAUUUAAUGGUAGAAUACUGGUUUCGUAGUCCAGCAAUGCGGGUUCGAUUCCUGCUGCCUGCUCCA
This 74-nucleotide transfer RNA is filed under the name Clostridia bacterium. RNAcentral's name for it is "tRNA-Thr". It matches the Rfam family "tRNA". Rfam says of the family: Transfer RNA (tRNA) molecules are approximately 80 nucleotides in length. Their secondary structure includes four short double-helical elements and three loops (D, anti-codon, and T loops). Lineage: Bacteria; Bacillati; Bacillota; Clostridia. The record is from RNAcentral.